Molecule: ribosomal RNA, 253 nt
Filed under: uncultured bacterium
Lineage: Bacteria
Description: partial 16S ribosomal RNA
Rfam family: Bacterial small subunit ribosomal RNA
Source: RNAcentral
UACGUAGGUGGCAAGCGUUGUCCGGAUUUACUGGGUUUAAAGGGUGCGUAGGUGGGUAGGUAAGUCAGUGGUGAAAUCUUCGAGCUUAACUCGGAAACUGCCAUUGAUACUAUUUAUCUUGAAUACUCUGGAGGUAAGCGGAAUAUGUCAUGUAGCGGUGAAAUGCUUAGAUAUGACAUAGAACACCAAUUGCGAAGGCAGCUUACUACAUAGUUAUUGACACUGAGGCACGAAAGCGUGGGGAUCAAACAGG